This 77-nucleotide transfer RNA is filed under the name Candidatus Omnitrophota bacterium. Its description in RNAcentral is "Candidatus Omnitrophica bacterium tRNA-Lys". It matches the Rfam family "tRNA". Rfam says of the family: Transfer RNA (tRNA) molecules are approximately 80 nucleotides in length. The record is from RNAcentral. Lineage: Bacteria; Pseudomonadati; Candidatus Omnitrophota.
GCCCCCAUAGCUCAGUUUGGUAGAGCAGAUCACUCUUAAUGAUAAGGUCCCAGGUUCGAGCCCUGGUGGGGGUACCA